AGUUGAUGGUGAUGGUGAGAUGUGGUUUGGCAGCUGGUACAUGGUGUUUUAGUGGAUGAAAAAAAUCUUGUAUUUUCGCUAACUCCAUGCGUAGCAGACUAUGCAAGAUGAGGUGGUUAGGUCUUUUCCAUUGUUUGAUCCCACAAGUUUUCUCACCAAAAAGGAACAGAAAUUUUGAAGUGCUUGAACAAUCACCAGAAGUUGAAUCUGAACACCGAAGAUGUGUCCUAGAUGUGUCUGGUUCAACCCGCUUGUAAAUCUUGAAGAGGAUUUGAUUUUACAUUUGUGCUUCAUCACGCGUACUGUCUCGAAGGGUCCCUGGAAUAUUCUACACUUUUGGAUCAGCCUUUGCAGUUUAGCAUCUCAUUCAAGCUCAGGUGAGAUCAAAACUGGGAUCCGCCCCUAUUUAAGGCCUGCGGCCUUUAUUAUUGAAUCAGAUCACUGUCCCAGCUUGGAUGAUUAUGUAUGAAACCAGGUGGUUUGGGAGUUGGGAUGUCAAACGCCCUUUUGAGUUAACCAAAACCUAGCAUAGUCUAUAUGCAUGCAUUAAUUUUACUUGGAUUUUAUGUAGAUUCUAAAAACCGAGACUUUCUUCAAUACUACUACGUAGCGUUGAAUGAUACGGGAAUGAAUUUUGCUGAGGUUGAAAUAGAGUUGAAAAUAG
Molecule: small RNA, 664 nt
Filed under: Malus domestica (apple)
Lineage: Eukaryota; Viridiplantae; Streptophyta; Magnoliopsida; Rosales; Rosaceae
Description: sRNA MD10G0124700
Source: RNAcentral